UGAGGAGGCAUCCAAAGGGAUCGCAUUGAUCCUAUAAUAUUUCAACUUUAGUCACUUUAAUUUUCUCUCAUAUAAUACUUAAUUGGGAUCAUGCCAUCCCUUUGGAUUUCUCCUU
MicroRNA precursor from Medicago truncatula (barrel medic), 115 nucleotides. It matches the Rfam family "mir-393 microRNA precursor family". NCBI's taxonomy places the organism in Eukaryota, Viridiplantae, Streptophyta, Magnoliopsida, Fabales, Fabaceae. The record is from Rfam.